ACGCACGCUGGCGGCGUGCUUAACACAUGCAAGUCGAACGGAAAGGCCCUGCUUUUGUGGGGUGCUCGAGUGGCGAACGGGUGAGUAACACGUGAGUAACCUGCCCUUGACUUUGGGAUAACUUCAGGAAACUGGGGCUAAUACCGGAUAGGAGCUCCUGCUGCAUGGUGGGGGUUGGAAAGUUUCGGCGGUUGGGGAUGGACUCGCGGCUUAUCAGCUUGUUGGUGGGGUAGUGGCUUACCAAGGCUUUGACGGGUAGCCGGCCUGAGAGGGUGACCGGCCACAUUGGGACUGAGAUACGGCCCAGACUCCUACAGGAGGCAGCAGUGGGGAAUAUUGCACAAUGGGCGGAAGCCUGAUGCAGCAACGCCGCGUGCGGGAUGACGGCCUUCGGGUUGUAAACCGCUUUCGCCUGUGACGAAGCGUGAGUGACGGUAAUGGGUAAAGAAGCACCGGCUAACUACGUG
Molecule: ribosomal RNA, 467 nt
Filed under: uncultured bacterium
Lineage: Bacteria
Description: partial 16S ribosomal RNA
Rfam family: Bacterial small subunit ribosomal RNA
Source: RNAcentral